RNAcentral lists this long non-coding RNA (407 nucleotides) under Pogona vitticeps (central bearded dragon). RNAcentral's name for it is "lncRNA (ENSPVIG00000005377.1)". The record is from RNAcentral. Lineage: Eukaryota; Metazoa; Chordata; Lepidosauria; Squamata; Agamidae.
AUUGGCGGCCACAAAGCGAUCGCCAGGAAGCGCUCGAAAGUCGUUUCAAACACAACCCGAAGCUUUCGUCGCUGCGCGGAGCGCGGGCGCAAACUUUUGCCCCGGUGUUGGGAAAGGACAGGGGCUCGCUCUCGAUGAAACUGCAUAUUAGAGAAACCCUUCAAACACUGAGGAGUUAAUCUUCACAACUCUUGGCAGCAGCUUCUGGUACUCCCAUGUAGUAUUUGUGUCUAUUUACUUUAGUGGAUCAGUGCCUUGAAGGGACCAGCCUUCACUACCAGAAUAUGGUGACUGAGGAGUUCUGGAAGUUGUCUGAAAAGGUAACUACAGUGUUCAAAACUCUAUGAAGAUGUUUUGUAGGAAGAAAACCACAUUGCGUAAUGUAAUAAACGUUGUCAUCUAAGGCA